Molecule: ribosomal RNA, 1045 nt
Filed under: uncultured bacterium
Lineage: Bacteria
Description: bacterial SSU rRNA
Rfam family: Bacterial small subunit ribosomal RNA
Source: RNAcentral
CAGCAGUAGGGAAUCUUCCACAAUGGGCGCAAGCCUGAUGGAGCAACGCCGCGUGAGUGAAGACGGCCUUCGGGUUGUAAAGCUCUGUCUGUCGGGACGAAGACCGGGACGGGAGUCCCGGGGAGCCGGUACCGACGAAGGAAGCCCCUGCAAACUACGUGCCAGCAGCCGCGGUAAGACGUAGGGGGCAAGCGUUGUCCGGAAUUACUGGGCGUAAAGGGCGUGUAGGCGGUGCGAUACGUAGCGGUUUUGAGCCUCCGGCUCACCCGGAGGAGGGCGGCUAAACGGUCGCACUGGAGGGCAGGAGAGGUGCGUGGAAUUCCUGGUGGAGCGGUGAAAUGCGUAGAGAUCAGGAAGAACACCAGUGGCGAAGGCGGCGCACUGGCCUGGCCCUGACGCUGAGGCGCGACAGCGUGGGGAGCAAACGGGAUUAGAUACCCCGGUAGUCCACGCCGUAAACGAUGGAUACUAGGUGUCGUGGGAGUCCACCCUGCGGUGCCGGAGCUAACGCACUAAGUAUCCCGCCUGGGGAGUACGGCCGCAAGGUUGAAACUCAAAGGAAUUGACGGGGGCCCGCACAAGCAGUGGAGCAUGUGGUUUAAUUCGACGCAACGCGCAGAACCUUACCAGGACUGGACAGGAUCGUGAGCGCCGCGAAAGCGGCGGGCCCUUCGGGGAGCGGUCUCAGGUGCUGCAUGGUUGUCGUCAGCUCGUGUCGUGAGAUGUUGGGUUAAGUCCCGCAACGAGCGCAACCCUUGUCGCGUGUUGCCAGCGGUUCGGCCGGGCACUCACACGAGACUGCCGGUGACAAACCGGAGGAAGGUGGGGAUGACGUCAAAUCCGCAUGGCCUUUAUGUCCUGGGCCACACACGUGCUACAAUGGUCCCGACAACGGGCCGCGACCGCGCGAGCGGCAGCGAAUCCUUCAAACGGGAUCUCAGUUCGGAUUGCAGGCUGCAACCCGCCUGCAUGAAGCCGGAAUUGCUAGUAAUCGCCCAUCAGCAUGGGGCGGUGAAUUCGUUCCCGGGCCUUGUACACACCGCCC